GAGAUCUUAGCUUAAUGGUAAAGUAUGUGACUUUUAAUCAUUAUGAUACAGGUUCAAAUCCUGUAGAUCUCC
Molecule: transfer RNA, 72 nt
Filed under: Pedobacter sp.
Lineage: Bacteria; Pseudomonadati; Bacteroidota; Sphingobacteriia; Sphingobacteriales; Sphingobacteriaceae
Description: tRNA-Lys
Rfam family: tRNA
About the family: Transfer RNA (tRNA) molecules are approximately 80 nucleotides in length. Their secondary structure includes four short double-helical elements and three loops (D, anti-codon, and T loops). Further hydrogen bonds mediate the characteristic L-shaped molecular structure. tRNAs have two regions of fundamental functional importance: the anti-codon, which is responsible for specific mRNA codon recognition, and the 3' end, to which the tRNAs corresponding amino acid is attached (by aminoacyl-tRNA synthetases). tRNAs cope with the degeneracy of the genetic code in two manners: having more than one tRNA (with a specific anti-codon) for a particular amino acid; and 'wobble' base-pairing, i.e. permitting non-standard base-pairing at the 3rd anti-codon position.
Source: RNAcentral